Molecule: microRNA precursor, 127 nt
Filed under: Myotis brandtii (Brandt's bat)
Lineage: Eukaryota; Metazoa; Chordata; Mammalia; Chiroptera; Vespertilionidae
Description: mir-9193 microRNA precursor family
Rfam family: mir-9193 microRNA precursor family
Source: Rfam by way of RNAcentral
CAUGCACUGGUGGGGUCCCUCGGCCUGGCCUGUGCCCUCUUGCAAUGUAGGACCCCUCAGGGGAUGUUGGAGAGCCGGUUUUGGUCUGAUCCCCGCAGGCCAGGCCGAGGGACCCCACCAGUGCCAU